CUUCUGUUUUUGCCUUUAGUCCCCAGUAAAAAUUGCUCUACCCACUCUUGACCAGCCUUGCAUUUGGCCUGUUUUGGGGUGGUGGCUGUAUUUUAGAUAUCUUCCUUCCAGAAAGCUUAAUUGUUUCUUAUUUAUCCUGAGUAAAGGACAAUUAUUACCUGUUACCAGCUUCCCUGAGGUUUCACCCAAUGCCUCAGUACAACAUCAUUAUUUUAUUUUAUUUUUUUUUGCCUUAUAAAUAUUCAACAACAUUUGAGUCCAAGGCAAUGUAUUAUUCUGGUCUUUCUACCUACCAAAAACAGGAUAUCAUCCCCAUUCUUUAAGUAUGCCCACAGCCUUGGACCUGGGGACUUGACCUAACGACACAGCAUCUCAUCUCAGCCUGACACCCCAGAGUCACUGAUGUGAAUGGCUUGCCUUGUUGGAUGGUUGAAGAACUUCUCUUGGGCAUUUUUGCGCUAUGAAGCAAACAGCCACCAUCAGAUCACCAGUUCGCUGCUUCAGCUCCAACUGCCAUAUAUCUGUCAUAAAUACUGCUGGAAUUUUUGAAUUAUUCCCAGAUGAUAUUCAGCAUUUGUAAGAGUAACUGCAUGCUUCUUUAAAGCACUGUACUUUUGUUCUCUCAAAGGUGACAGUUUCUCAAAGGAAAACAUAUUACAGAUUGUUCAGUGUCUGUACAAAUGAGGAGAAGAAAUGGGUUUUGGGUGACUGUAAAAUUAGUUUUGCUUCUGAAGCCAAGUAAAAUAUAAAUCAGAAGGACCUGAGUUUCUUCGGGAAUGACUAAAUAUCUUACUCAGUUUCUACACAAAGAUAUGAGAGAAGUGGACAAAUUAAAGGAACAUUAAAAUCAAACGCAUGGACCAGAUAUACCGAGCUUGAAUGCAAUACUGAUUUUACCUAAGCCUUGCUUUAGACUACAAUCAGACCUUCUGUCUCUAUAAAUGACUUAGACAAAAAGUGCAUAUGUGUAUCUCAUCGCAGGGCACUUUUGAGAAUAAACCACUUGGCAUUAUGUUCA
RNAcentral lists this long non-coding RNA (1018 nucleotides) under Crocodylus porosus (Australian saltwater crocodile). RNAcentral describes it as "lncRNA (ENSCPRG00005001034.1)". Lineage: Eukaryota; Metazoa; Chordata; Crocodylia; Crocodylidae. The record is from RNAcentral.